UACGGAGGGUGCGAGCGUUGUCCGGAAUCACUGGGCGUAAAGGGCGCGUAGGUGGCCUGUGGAAGUCUGCGGUGAAAGCCCGGCGCUCAACGCCGGGUCGGCCGUGGAUACUCUCGGGCUCGAGCUUACUAGAGGCAGACGGAAUUCCGGGUGUAGCGGUGGAAUGCGUAGAGAUCCGGAAGAACACCGGUGGCGAAGGCGGUCUGCUGGGGUAAUGCUGACACUGAUGCGCGACAGCGUGGGGAGCAAACAGG
Molecule: ribosomal RNA, 254 nt
Filed under: uncultured bacterium
Lineage: Bacteria
Description: partial 16S ribosomal RNA
Rfam family: Bacterial small subunit ribosomal RNA
Source: RNAcentral